AGAGAGAGAGAGAGAGAGAGAGAGAUGAAGCCGUUUUUGAACAAAUGCAUUGGACUAGGCAAUAAAGAUGAAGUGGACUAAGACCAAAUGUGAAAAGAGUGAUCCAUCUUAGAGCGUGAAUAUGCAGAAAAGAAUUAGCCAAGUGAGGUAAGGUCGUGCGUCAAUUGGACAGGUGGCUUUGUUUACAUUCUUGAUCCUAUAUAU
RNAcentral lists this unclassified non-coding RNA (204 nucleotides) under Hevea brasiliensis (rubber tree). The record is from RNAcentral. Lineage: Eukaryota; Viridiplantae; Streptophyta; Magnoliopsida; Malpighiales; Euphorbiaceae.